RNAcentral lists this unclassified non-coding RNA (152 nucleotides) under soil metagenome. RNAcentral describes it as "partial internal transcribed spacer 1". The record is from RNAcentral.
GCGAGUAUGGCCCUCACGGGUCUAAUCCACCAUAAACACCUUUGUGAACCAGGUCAGGGGGACUCGGCCGUGAAAGCCCAGGCGAUUAGCGGAAGGGCCCUCCUUUGCAAACCCGUUUAGAAGUCUUGAAAGUACUUUUGUAUAAUCUAGUA